AGUGAACGCUGGCGGUAGGCCUAACACAUGCAAGUCGAACGGCAGCACAGUAAGAGCUUGCUCUUACGGGUGGCGAGUGGCGGACGGGUGAGGAAUACAUCGGAAUCUACUUUUUCGUGGGGGAUAACGUAGGGAAACUUACGCUAAUACCGCAUACGACCUACGGGUGAAAGCAGGGGAUCUUCGGACCUUGCGCGAUUGAAUGAGCCGAUGUCGGAUUAGCUAGUUGGCGGGGUAAAGGCCCACCAAGGCGACGAUCCGUAGCUGGUCUGAGAGGAUGAUCGGCCACACUGGAACUGAGACACGGUCCAGACUCCUACGGGAGGCAGCAGUGGGGAAUAUUGGACAAUGGGCGCAAGCCUGAUCCAGCCAUCCCGCGUGGGUGAAGAAGGCCUUCGGGUUGUAAAGCCCUUUUGUUGGGAAAGAAAAGCAGCAGGUUAAUACCCCGCUGUUCGGACGGUACCCAAAGAAUAAGCACCGGCUAACUUCGC
This 491-nucleotide ribosomal RNA is filed under the name uncultured bacterium. RNAcentral's name for it is "partial 16S ribosomal RNA". It matches the Rfam family "Bacterial small subunit ribosomal RNA", at positions 29 to 506 of the family's 1533-position model. The record is from RNAcentral.